This 791-nucleotide ribosomal RNA is filed under the name uncultured archaeon. RNAcentral describes it as "bacterial SSU rRNA". It matches the Rfam family "Archaeal small subunit ribosomal RNA", at positions 85 to 879 of the family's 1478-position model. The record is from RNAcentral.
ACGGCUCAGUAACACGUGGAUAAUCUGCCCAAGGGUCCGGGAUAACCCCGGGAAACUGGGGAUAAUACCGGAUGGGCCAUCAGUGCUGGAAUGCUUGGUGGUUUAAAGGUAACGCCCUUGGAUGGGUCUGCGGCGGAUUAGGUUGACGCCGGUGUAACGUACCGGCGUGCCUGUAAUCCGUACGGGUUGUGGGAGCAAGAGCCCGGAGAUGGAUUCUGAGACACGAAUCCAGGCCCUACGGGGCGCAGCAGGCGCGAAAACUCUACAAUGCAGGCAACUGCGAUAGGGGGACAUCGAGUGGCGCCCACCUUGGGCGCCUGUCCCACCGUCUAAAAAACGGUGGUUAGCAAGGGCCGGGUAAGACCGGUGCCAGCCGCCGCGGUAAUACCGGCGGCUCGAGUGGUGGCCGAUAUUAUUGAGUCUAAAGGGUCCGUAGCCGGCUCCGUGGGUCCCCCGGGAAAUCCAGCGGCUUAACCGUUGGUCGUCCGUGGGAUACCGCGUUGCUUGGGACCGGGAGAGGUGGGAGGUACUCGGGGGGUAGGGGUGAAAUCCUGUAAUCCUCCGGGGACCACCGGUGGCGAAGGCGUCCCACCAGAACGGGUCCGACGGUGAGGGACGAAAGCUAGGGGCACGAACCGGAUUAGAUACCCGGGUAGUCCUAGCCGUAAACGAUGCCCGCUAGGUGUCACGGCGGUCGUGAAUCGCCGUGGUGCCGUAGGGAAGCCGCGAAGCGGGCCACUUGGGAAGUACGGCCGCAAGGCUGAAACUUAAAGGAAUUGGCGGGGGAGCAC